RNAcentral lists this long non-coding RNA (862 nucleotides) under Nicotiana benthamiana. RNAcentral describes it as "long non-coding RNA (NBEN_LNC017788)". The record is from RNAcentral. Lineage: Eukaryota; Viridiplantae; Streptophyta; Magnoliopsida; Solanales; Solanaceae.
UAGUCUUUGGCUCAAUUCCCUAUCCCAUAUUUCUUAAACCCAAACCGCUAACAUAAUUCAUACCCAAUAUAAUAGCACCUAAUAACCAAAUAUCCACACACCCUGUAUGCCUAAAACACCACAAUCAGCCGUAUAACUCCAAAGAAAGACCCCCCACGUCGUCAUCUUGACCCUUGAGCUUCAGCAGCAACAACGAUUUUUCUGGAAAAAAAUCCAACGCCCUUCAGCCAUUCUUCAACAAAUGAACAGACCCUCCCAUGUAUACCCAUCGUCUCUUGAACAUGGACAAAAACAGAGAUAGGAACGUAGUCCUACACCUCUAAGACCACUAGAGAGCCACAAUUCAGAAAUGACAAUUUUUGGACCUAAAUCCAAAAGAAAACUUCUGCCAUCUAAACUAUUAAUUCCUCCCUUUGUUAAGGAGAGGUAGAUCUUUGAAUUACAAAAGAAAAUGCACACACUCAUGCAAAGGAGACAGACGAAAGAAAAAACAAAAGGAAUAGAAUCGAAAGUUAGGAAGAAAUACAAAGAAAAGGAUACUGCCUUCAUCGGGUUGAUUACGAUUUCUGUGUUUUCUUUUAAAAAAAUGGAGAUGAAUUGGGGUUUGGAGUUCGUUUGAGUUCAAGUUUAGAGCUGCCGUCCGUUCGUGGUUUCAGUUGAUUUUGACUGCUAUUUCGGAUUUGAUCGUUAGUUGUGGUUUAACGACGCCCUUGUAACUGCCGGAAUUUCCAUAAUCAAAGGCAAAUUUCAGAUCCAUUCAUUCUCUUUCCCUUAGCUAAUGUUUGUCGUUGGGAUCUAUUGUGUAAUAUUUUGACUCAUGAAUUACUAUUUUAGUUUUUUUAAUAAAGAUUUAAUUCGUUAA